UACGGAGGGUGCGAGCGUUAAUCGGAAUAACUGGGCGUAAAGCGCGCGUAGGUGGUUGAGUCAGUCAGAUGUGAAAGCCCCGGGCUUAACCUGGGAACUGCACCUGAUACUGCUUGACUAGAGUACGGUAGAGGGCAGUGGAAUUUCCUGUGUAGCGGUGAAAUGCGUAGAUAUAGGAAGGAACACCAGUGGCGAAGGCGACUGCCUGGACUGAUACUGACACUGAGGGACGAAAGCUAGGGUCACGAACCGG
This 253-nucleotide unclassified non-coding RNA is filed under the name uncultured Oceanospirillales bacterium. Its description in RNAcentral is "contains 16S-23S intergenic spacer region". It matches the Rfam family "Bacterial small subunit ribosomal RNA", at positions 524 to 776 of the family's 1533-position model. The record is from RNAcentral. Lineage: Bacteria; Pseudomonadati; Pseudomonadota; Gammaproteobacteria; Oceanospirillales.